This 468-nucleotide ribosomal RNA is filed under the name uncultured bacterium. RNAcentral describes it as "partial 16S ribosomal RNA". It matches the Rfam family "Bacterial small subunit ribosomal RNA", at positions 28 to 507 of the family's 1533-position model. The record is from RNAcentral.
GAUGAACGCUGGCGGCGUGCUUAACACAUGCAAGUCGAACGGAAAGGCCCUGCUUUUGUGGGGUGCUCGAGUGGCGAACGGGUGAGUAACACGUGAGUAACCUGCCCUUGACUUUGGGAUAACUUCAGGGAACUGGGGCUAAUACCGGAUAGGAGCUCCUGCUGCAUGGUGGGGGUUGGAAAGUUUCGGCGGUUGGGGAUGGACUCGCGGCUUAUCAGCUUGUUGGUGGGGUAGUGGCUUACCAAGGCUUUGACGGGUAGCCGGCCUGAGAGGGUGACCGGCCACAUUGGGACUGAGAUACGGCCCAGACUCCUACGGGAGGCAGCAGUGGGGAAUAUUGCACAAUGGGCGGAAGCCUGAUGCAGCAACGCCGCGUGCGGGAUGACGGCCUUCGGGUUGUAAACCGCUUUCGCCUGUGACGAAGCGUGAGUGACGGUAAUGGGUAAAGAAGCACCGGCUAACUACGUG